UUCCUACGGGAGGCAGCAGUAAGGAAUAUUGGGCAAUGGACGCAAGUCUGACCCAGCCAUGCCGCGUGCAGGAUGACAGCCUUAUGGGUUGUAAACUGCUUUUAUCAGGGAAUAACCCCCCGUACGUGUACGGGGCUGAAUGUACCUGAAGAAUAAGCAUCGGCUAACUCCGUGCCAGCAGCCGCGGUAAUACGGAGGAUGCAAGCGUUAUCCGGAUUUAUUGGGUUUAAAGGGUGCGCAGGCGGAUAAGUAAGUCAGUGGUGAAAUCUCUCGGCUCAACCGAGAAACUGCCAUUGAUACUGUUUAUCUUGAGUGUAAAUGAAGUGGGCGGAAUGUAGCAUGUAGCGGUGAAAUGCAUAGAUAUGCUACAGAACACCAAUUGCGAAGGCAGCUCACUAAAUUACAACUGACGCUCAUGCACGAAAGCGUGGGGAUCAAACAGGAUUAGAUACCCUGGUAGUCCACGCWGUARACGAUGAUUACUCGUUGUUGGCGAUACACAGUCAGCGACCAAGCGAAAGUGAUAAGUAAU
RNAcentral lists this ribosomal RNA (532 nucleotides) under uncultured bacterium. RNAcentral describes it as "bacterial SSU rRNA". It matches the Rfam family "Bacterial small subunit ribosomal RNA", at positions 336 to 868 of the family's 1533-position model. The record is from RNAcentral.